GAUGAAGAACGUAGCGAAAUGCGAUAAGUAAUGUGAAUUGCAGAAUUCAGUGAAUCAUCGAAUCUUUGAACGCAUCUUGCGCUCCUUGGUAUUCUGAGGAGCAUGCCUGUUUGAGUGUCAUUAAAUUCUCAACUACAUUGACUUUGAAUUGGUGUGGCUUGGAUUUGGGGGGAAAAUUGUUGUGGGCUUUUUGUAUAGUCUGCUCCCCUGAAAUUGAUUAGCGGUACCUUUGUGGAACUGUCUACAGGUGUGAUAAUUAUCUACAUCUUAGACAUCUGCUGGAAUGCUGCUUUCUAAACCUUACUUGUAUUGACAAUCUUGACCUCAAAUCAGGUAGGACUACCCGCUGAACUUAAGCAUAUCAAUAAGCGGAGGA
RNAcentral lists this unclassified non-coding RNA (376 nucleotides) under soil metagenome. RNAcentral's name for it is "partial contains 5.8S ribosomal RNA, internal transcribed spacer 2, and large subunit ribosomal RNA". The stretch from base 1 to 120 matches the Rfam family "5.8S ribosomal RNA", at positions 35 to 154 of the family's 154-position model. The record is from RNAcentral.